GUGCCCUUUUAAGGCUGAUGUACUUUAAGUGGCUACCACAGAAGGGUAAAAUAAGUCUCCAUAAAACCCAGAGAAGAGAUUUUCAAACUCCCCUUUGGAUCCUGUAUGGUGUCUUAGCA
Sciurus vulgaris (Eurasian red squirrel) is the source of this 119-nucleotide small nucleolar RNA. NCBI's taxonomy places the organism in Eukaryota, Metazoa, Chordata, Mammalia, Rodentia, Sciuridae. The record is from Ensembl.